RNAcentral lists this transfer RNA (387 nucleotides) under Melitaea cinxia (Glanville fritillary). RNAcentral's name for it is "misc RNA ENSMCXG00005019732.1". The stretch from base 288 to 360 matches the Rfam family "tRNA". The record is from RNAcentral. Lineage: Eukaryota; Metazoa; Arthropoda; Insecta; Lepidoptera; Nymphalidae.
GAGCGCCGACACGGUACGUCGGAGACGCGGGUUCGAACCCCGCUGGAGCGGUCAAUUUUUGAUAUGAUAUUCAAAAAUGUUUAGAAUUCCUAAUGUGGGUAACACAAAAAUAAAAUCUUAGAUAUUAAAAAUAGCACGGUGUCGUCUCCUGUCAAAGAUUUUCAUUGUAAUAUGAAACUUUGAAUAGUUACGGGUUUCUGUAAAGAGCUCACUAUAGACGGCGCCACGGUUCGCUUAAACCGUAAUUUAAAAUUAUCAUAUCGAAAAUUUCGCUCGAGCGGGUGUAUCGUUCCAUAGCUUAAUUGGCUAGAGCGCCGACACGGUACGUCGGAGACGCGGGUUCGAUCCCCGCUGGAGCGGUCAAUUUUUGAUAUGAUAUUCAAGAAU